This 170-nucleotide ribosomal RNA is filed under the name Ploioderma destruens. Its description in RNAcentral is "5.8S ribosomal RNA". It matches the Rfam family "5.8S ribosomal RNA". From Rfam's summary of the family: 5.8S ribosomal RNA (5.8S rRNA) is a component of the large subunit of the eukaryotic ribosome. It is transcribed by RNA polymerase I as part of the 45S precursor that also contains 18S and 28S rRNA. Functionally, it is thought that 5.8S rRNA may be involved in ribosome translocation. The record is from RNAcentral. Lineage: Eukaryota; Fungi; Ascomycota; Leotiomycetes; Rhytismatales; Rhytismataceae.
AAAACUUUCAACAACGGAUCUCUUGGUUCGGGCAUCGAUGAAGAACGCAGCGAAAUGCGAUAAGUAAUGUGAAUUGCAGAAUUCAGUGAAUCAUCGAAUCUUUGAACGCACAUUGCACUCCCUGGCAUUCCAGGGAGUAUGCCUGUUCGAGCGUCAUUACAACCCUCACG